AACCUCCUACGGGAGGCAGCAGUGGGGAAUAUUGCACAAUGGGGGGAACCCUGAUGCAGCGACGCCGCGUGGGCGAUGGAGUGCUUCGGCAUGUAAAGCCCUAUCAGCAGGGAAGAAAAUGACGGUACCUGACUAAGAAGCCCCGGCUAACUACGUGCCAGCAGCCGCGGUAAUACGUAGGUGGCAAGCGUUGUCCGGAUUUACUGGGUGUAAAGGGCGUGUAGCCGGGUUGACAAGUCAGAUGUGAAAUCCUGCGGCUUAACCGCAGAACUGCAUUUGAAACUGUUGACCUUGAGUACUGGAGA
RNAcentral lists this ribosomal RNA (305 nucleotides) under uncultured bacterium. RNAcentral describes it as "bacterial SSU rRNA". It matches the Rfam family "Bacterial small subunit ribosomal RNA", at positions 333 to 655 of the family's 1533-position model. The record is from RNAcentral.